AGCCCCGUCGUCUAGCGGUCAAGGAUGCGGGCCUUUGAAGCCUGAGACGGCAGUUCGAGUCUGCCCGGGGCUA
Molecule: transfer RNA, 73 nt
Filed under: Candidatus Micrarchaeota archaeon CG1_02_60_51
Lineage: Archaea; Nanobdellati; Microcaldota
Also listed under: 4 other names
Description: tRNA-Gln
Rfam family: tRNA
About the family: Transfer RNA (tRNA) molecules are approximately 80 nucleotides in length. Their secondary structure includes four short double-helical elements and three loops (D, anti-codon, and T loops).
Source: RNAcentral